RNAcentral lists this ribosomal RNA (415 nucleotides) under uncultured bacterium. Its description in RNAcentral is "bacterial SSU rRNA". It matches the Rfam family "Bacterial small subunit ribosomal RNA", at positions 355 to 787 of the family's 1533-position model. The record is from RNAcentral.
UGGGGAAUAUUGGACAAUGGGCGCAAGCCUGAUCCAGCCAUGCCGCGUGAGUGAUGAAGGCCCUAGGGUUGUAAAGCUCUUUUGUCCGGGACGAUAAUGACGGUACCGGAAGAAUAAGCCCCGGCUAACUUCGUGCCAGCAGCCGCGGUAAUACGUAGGGCGCAAGCGUUGUCCGGAUUUAUUGGGCGUAAAGAGCUCGUAGGCGGCCUGUCGCGUCUGCUGUGAAAGUCCGGGGCUUAACUCCGGGUGUGCAGUGGAUACGGGCAGGCUUGAGGUAGGUAGGGGAGACUGGAAUUCCUGGUGUAGCGGUGAAAUGCGCAGAUAUCAGGAGGAACACCGGUGGCGAAGGCGGGUCUCUGGGCCUUACCUGACGCUGAGGAGCGAAAGCGUGGGGAGCGAACAGGAUUAGAUACCC